RNAcentral lists this ribosomal RNA (216 nucleotides) under Glomeromycotina sp. Its description in RNAcentral is "partial small subunit ribosomal RNA". The stretch from base 40 to 216 matches the Rfam family "Eukaryotic small subunit ribosomal RNA", at positions 686 to 864 of the family's 1831-position model. The record is from RNAcentral. Lineage: Eukaryota; Fungi; Glomeromycota.
GGGUCAGUAGGUUGGUCGUGCCACCGGUACGUACUGGACUCACUGAUUCCUCCUUCCUGAAGAACCGUAAUGCCAUUAAUUUGGUGUUGCGGGGAAACAGGACUGUUACUUUGAAAAAAUUAGAGUGUUUAAAGCAAGCUAACGCUUGAAUACACUAGCAUGGAAUAAUGAAAUAGGACGAUCGAUCCUAUUUUGUUGGUUUCUAGGAUUGACGUA